This is a non-coding RNA of Podarcis lilfordi (Lilford's wall lizard), 71 nucleotides long. The record is from the annotation of a GenBank genome assembly. NCBI's taxonomy places the organism in Eukaryota, Metazoa, Chordata, Lepidosauria, Squamata, Lacertidae.
GCUGGGAUAGCUCAGAUGGUAUAGCACAAGACUCAAUCUCAGGAUUGUGGGUUCAAACCCCACAUUAAGCA